ACGCUGGCGGCAGGCUUAACACAUGCAAGUCGAACGGUAGCAGGAGAAAGCUUGCUUUCUUGCUGACGAGUGGCGGACGGGUGAGUAAUGCUUGGGAAUCUGGCUUAUGGAGGGGGAUAACUACGGGAAACUGUAGCUAAUACCGCGUAGUGUCGAGAGACGAAAGUGCGGGACCGCAAGGCCGCAUGCCAUGAGAUGAGCCCAAGUGGGAUUAGGUAGUUGGUGGGGUAAAGGCCUACCAAGCCUGCGAUCUCUAGCUGGUCUGAGAGGAUGGCCAGCCACACUGGAACUGAGACACGGUCCAGACUCCUACGGGAGGCAGCAGUGGGGAAUAUUGCGCAAUGGGGGGAACCCUGACACAGCCAUGCCGCGUGAAUGAAGAAGGCCUUCGGGUUGUAAAGUUCUUUCGGUAUUGAGGAAGGAGUGUAUGUUAAUAGCAUACAUUAUUGACGUUAAAUACAGAAGAAGCACCGGCUAACUCCGUGCCAGCAGCCGCGGUAAUACGGAGGGUGCGAGCGUUAAUCGGAAUAACUGGGCGUAAAGGGCACGCAGGCGGUCAUUUAAGUGAGGUGUGAAAGCCCCGGGCUUAACCUGGGAAUUGCAUUUCAGACUGGGUAACUAGAGUACUUUAGGGAGGGGUAGAAUUCCACGUGUAGCGGUGAAAUGCGUAGAGAUGUGGAGGAAUACCGAAGGCGAAGGCAGCCCCUUGGGAAUGUACUGACGCUCAUGUGCGAAAGCGUGGGGAGCAAACAGGAUUAGAUACCCUGGUAGUCCACGCUGUAAACGCUGUCGAUUUGGGGAUUGGGCUUAAAGCUUGGUGCCCGUAGCUAACGUGAUAAAUCGACCGCCUGGGGAGUACGGCCGCAAGGUUAAAACUCAAAUGAAUUGACGGGGGCCCGCACAAGCGGUG
Molecule: ribosomal RNA, 910 nt
Filed under: uncultured bacterium
Lineage: Bacteria
Description: bacterial SSU rRNA
Rfam family: Bacterial small subunit ribosomal RNA
Source: RNAcentral